GUAAAGAACUUGCCUCACAGUUAGGGACAACAUUUGGAAACGAAUGCUAAUACCUGAUAUUAUGAUAAUAGGGCAUCCCAUAAUUAUGAAAGCUAUAAGCGCUGUGAGAGAGCUUUGCGUCCCAUUAGCUAGUUGGAGAGGUAACGGCUCACCAAGGCGAUGAUGGGUAGCCGGCCUGAGAGGGUGAUCGGCCACAAGGGGACUGAGACACGGCCCUU
Molecule: ribosomal RNA, 218 nt
Filed under: uncultured Fusobacteriales bacterium
Lineage: Bacteria; Fusobacteriati; Fusobacteriota; Fusobacteriia; Fusobacteriales
Description: partial 16S ribosomal RNA
Rfam family: Bacterial small subunit ribosomal RNA
Source: RNAcentral